This 672-nucleotide ribosomal RNA is filed under the name Candidatus Fukatsuia symbiotica. RNAcentral's name for it is "bacterial SSU rRNA". It matches the Rfam family "Bacterial small subunit ribosomal RNA", at positions 8 to 667 of the family's 1533-position model. Lineage: Bacteria; Pseudomonadati; Pseudomonadota; Gammaproteobacteria; Enterobacterales; Yersiniaceae. The record is from RNAcentral.
AGAGUUUGAUCCUGGCUCAGAUUGAACGCUGGCGGCAGGCCUAACACAUGCAAGUCGAGCGGCAUCGGGAAGGUAGCUUGCUAUCUUUGCCGGCGAGCGGCGGACGGGUGAGUAAAGUCUGGGGAUCUGCCUGAUGGAGGGGGAUAACUACUGGAAACGGUAGCUAAUACCGCAUGAUGUUACGCGACCAAAGCGGGGGACCUCCGGGCCUCGCGCCAUCAGAUGAACCCAGAUGGGAUUAGCUAGUAGGAGAGGUAAUGGCUCCCCUAGGCGACGAUCCCUAGCUGGUCUGAGAGGAUAACCAGCCACACUGGAACUGAGAGACGGUCCAGACUCCUACGGGAGGCAGCAGUGGGGAAUAUUGCACAAUGGGCGCAAGCCUGAUGCAGCCAUGCCGCGUGUGUGAAGAAGGCCUUCGGGUUGUAAAGCACUUUCAGCGAGGAGGAAUGAAGCAAUGCAAAGAGUGUUGCUAAUGGACGUUACUCGCAGAAGAAGCACCGGCUAACUCCGUGCCAGCAGCCGCGGUAAUACGGAGGGUGCGAGCGUUAAUCGGAAUUACUGGGCGUAAAGGGCACGUAGGCGGUUUCUUAAGUCAGAUGUGAAAUCCCCGAGCUUCACUUGGGAACGGCAUUUGAAACUGAGAGUCUAGAGUUUUGUAGAGGGGGGUAGAAU